This 88-nucleotide microRNA precursor is filed under the name Chlorocebus sabaeus (green monkey). RNAcentral describes it as "miRNA (ENSCSAG00000026022.1)". The record is from RNAcentral. Lineage: Eukaryota; Metazoa; Chordata; Mammalia; Primates; Cercopithecidae.
UCGUAUUAGUUCAGUGCAAAAGUAAUUGUGGUUUUUGAUAUUACUUUUAAAUGGCAAACACUGCAACUACUUUUGCACCAACCUAAUA